This 465-nucleotide ribosomal RNA is filed under the name uncultured bacterium. RNAcentral describes it as "partial 16S ribosomal RNA". It matches the Rfam family "Bacterial small subunit ribosomal RNA", at positions 28 to 507 of the family's 1533-position model. The record is from RNAcentral.
GACGAACGCUGGCGGCGUGCUUAACACAUGCAAGUCGAACGGUGAACUCCGCUUGCGGGGGGAUCAGUGGCGAACGGGUGAGUAACACGUGGGCAACCUGCCCUCAGCUCUGGGAUAACUCCAAGAAAUCGGGGCUAAUACCGGAUAUGACCGCUGACCGCAUGGUCUGGUGGUGGAAAGAUUUAUCGGCUGGGGAUGGGCCCGCGGCCUAUCAGCUUGUUGGUGGGGUAGUGGCCUACCAAGGCGACGAUGGGUAGCCGGCCUGAGAGGGUGACCGGCCACACUGGGACUGAGACACGGCCCAGACUCCUACGGGAGGCAGCAGUGGGGAAUAUUGCGCAAUGGGCGAAAGCCUGACGCAGCGACGCCGCGUGGGGGAUGACGGCCUUCGGGUUGUAAACCUCUUUCAGCAGGGACGAAGCGAAAGUGACGGUACCUGCAGAAGAAGCACCGGCCAACUACGUG